AAAAGAAAAGAAAACUUGGCAGAUAAAUUGAAAAAAAGGUCUGGUGGAAUUUAAAUAAUAUUUAAAGGGAAUUUGGGUGGCGUUGUCGUCGGUUGGUUGUCUCCUCCUUUUGUUGCGCGAAGCAAUGAGGACUAUGGCGAUGCCUUGCUCAUUCCCUAUAUUUACCCGCUUAAAUGUCAACAAAACCCACCUUUCUCCUGUCUUAUUACCGUUUUGCCACUCCUCUUUCUCUCUCAGUCAUCGUCGCUCUCUUUCCAUGGCUUUUGCAACUCAGCCAUCCACUCAGGCUGUGUCACCUGGGGAUAUUAAUAGUGAUGCCAAUGUGUUUCAGUUGAUCCAAACUCACCAGAAAAAGGCAGCUCGACUUCCUCCCGUUGAGGAAAUUAGAACCGUGCUUUAUCACAGUAUCCGUGGCAUGCUAUCAACUUUUUCUCAGAAGGUCGAGGGUUAUCCAUCAGGGUCAAUGGUUGAUUUUGCAUGUGAUAUCGAUGGAUCUCCAAUAUUAGCAGUGAGCAGCUUGGCAACUCAUACAAAGGACCUCUUAGUUAAUCCCAAAUGCUCAUUGCUUGUUGCUAGAGAUCCGGAGGAUAGGACUGAUUUGGUAAUCACCCUGCAUGGUGAUGCUGUUUCUGUUUCUGAGAAAGAUAAAGCUGCCAUUCGAACUGCAUAUCUGGCAAAGCAU
This 682-nucleotide unclassified non-coding RNA is filed under the name Hevea brasiliensis (rubber tree). The record is from RNAcentral. Lineage: Eukaryota; Viridiplantae; Streptophyta; Magnoliopsida; Malpighiales; Euphorbiaceae.